RNAcentral lists this ribosomal RNA (497 nucleotides) under uncultured bacterium. RNAcentral's name for it is "partial 16S ribosomal RNA". It matches the Rfam family "Bacterial small subunit ribosomal RNA", at positions 28 to 507 of the family's 1533-position model. The record is from RNAcentral.
GAUGAACGCUGGCGGCGUGCCUAAUACAUGCAAGUCGAGCGAACGGACGAGAAGCUUGCUUUUCUGAUGUUAGCGGCGGACGGGUGAGUAACACGUGGAUAACCUACCUAUAAGACUGGGAUAACUUCGGGAAACCGGAGCUAAUACCGGAUAAUAUUUUGAACCGCAUGGUUCAAAAGUGAAAGACGGUCCUGCUGUCACUUAUAGAUGGAUCCGCGCUGCAUUAGCUAGUUGGUAAGGUAACGGCUUACCAAGGCAACGAUGCAUAGCCGACCUGAGAGGGUGAUCGGCCACACUGGAACUGAGACACGGUCCAGACUCCUACGGGAGGCAGCAGUAGGGAAUCUUCCGCAAUGGGCGAAAGCCUGACGGAGCAACGCCGCGUGAGUGAUGAAGAUCUUCGGAUCGUAAAACUCUGUUAUUAGGGAAGAACAUAUGUGUAAGUAACUGUGCACAUCUUGACGGUACCUAAUCAGAAAGCCACGGCUAACUACGUG